Molecule: ribosomal RNA, 428 nt
Filed under: uncultured bacterium
Lineage: Bacteria
Description: bacterial SSU rRNA
Rfam family: Bacterial small subunit ribosomal RNA
Source: RNAcentral
GUAGGGAAUAUUGCACAAUGGAGGAAACUCUGAUGCAGCGACGCCGCGUGAGUGAUGAAGGCCUUCGGGUCGUAAAGCUCUGUCGCAGGGGAAUAACACAAUGAAGGUACCCUGUAAGAAAGGAUCGGCUAACUUCGUGCCAGCAGCCGCGGUAAGACGAGGGAUCCUAGCGUUGUUCGGAAUCAUUGGGCGUAAAGCGGAUGUAGGUGGCUAUGUAAGUCAGAUGUGAAAGCCUGGGGCUCAACCGCAGAAGUGCAUUUGAUACUGCGUAGCUUGAGUGUCGGAGAGGUUACUAGAAUUGUUGGUGUAGUGGUGAAAUACGUAGAUAUCAACAGGAAUACCGGAGGCGAAGGCGGGUAACUGGCCGAACACUGACACUGAGAUCCGAAAGCGUGGGGAUCAAACAGGAUUAGAUACCCCUGUAGUCC